CUGGCUCAGGACGAACGCUGGCGGCGUGCUUAACACAUGCAAGUCGAACGAUGAACCACUUCGGUGGGGAUUAGUGGCGAACGGGUGAGUAACACGUGGGCAAUCUGCCCUUCACUCUGGGACAAGCCCUGGAAACGGGGUCUAAUACCGGAUAACACCGGCUUCCGCAUGGAAGCUGGUUGAAAGCUCCGGCGGUGAAGGAUGAGCCCGCGGCCUAUCAGCUUGUUGGUGGGGUAAUGGCCCACCAAGGCGACGACGGGUAGCCGGCCUGAGAGGGCGACCGGCCACACUGGGACUGAGACACGGCCCAGACUCCUACGGGAGGCAGCAGUGGGGAAUAUUGCACAAUGGGCGAAAGCCUGAUGCAGCGACGCCGCGUGAGGGAUGACGGCCUUCGGGUUGUAAACCUCUUUCAGCAGGGAAGAAGCGAAAGUGACGGUACCUGCAGAAGAAGCGCCGGCUAACUACGUGCCAGCAG
RNAcentral lists this ribosomal RNA (478 nucleotides) under Streptomyces sp. SUE01. Its description in RNAcentral is "bacterial SSU rRNA". It matches the Rfam family "Bacterial small subunit ribosomal RNA", at positions 19 to 514 of the family's 1533-position model. The record is from RNAcentral. Lineage: Bacteria; Bacillati; Actinomycetota; Actinomycetes; Kitasatosporales; Streptomycetaceae.